Panicum virgatum (switchgrass) is the source of this 3395-nucleotide long non-coding RNA. RefSeq lists it as uncharacterized. The transcript has 2 exons. Lineage: Eukaryota; Viridiplantae; Streptophyta; Magnoliopsida; Poales; Poaceae. The record is from RefSeq and is a predicted model, not a curated record.
ACGCCCCCGUCCCCGACGGUUCCUCCGCCCUGCGCGUCCCUGCCUCCUCCGCCCCGCGCACUCCCCCGCAACCUCCUCCUCCGCAGUUCGCCGCGCGCCCACCCCCGUGCUUCGCAACCUCCUCCUCCUCUCGCAUCGCCCCUCUCUGCCGUCGCCUCCACUCUCCCGCCCCAUCGCGCGCUGCCGUCGCCCUCCGCCCGCGCUCGCCGUCGCCAGUUCCGGCCGAUUCACCGGUUCCGUGCCCCCCCGCGAAGGCCCGAGACCCGCCACUUGCCCUCGCCCCGUCGGGAGAGGUCGCAACAGCGCAGUUCGAGGAGGUCCGCCGCCACUGCACCGCUCCCCCUCCCUCGCAAAUGCGCCGACGGUUCCCUGCGACCUCCUCCGAUCCUCCGCCUCCGGGCCCCUGACUUCCCGCGCCGCGGCGCCACUCCUACGCACGCCCGCUCGCGCUGCCGCGGCUCCUUCCGCCGCCUCGACUGCCAUGCGGCCAUGCCCGCUCACCCUUGGCGGUCUUGGGGGCACCACCUAGCUGUUCCCCGUGCCGCGUCGCCUCUGUUUCUGCUCGGGCGCUGCCCGCCUAGCUGCAGUGGGAGGAAAGCGAUGAGGAACGAGGAGGAGGAGACGGGCCAGUACUUCACCGCCUCCGAGAUGGGUAAGGGCACCGCUGCCGAUGGGUACACGAAGGGGAAGGGUCAGGCCAUGGAGGCAGGCCCGUUCGCUGCUGCGUGCUGAGGCCCUGAUAUUCAAUCCCAUCGACACCUUGCUGGAGCCUGUAGGACACCUGCAGGCCGAGGCAAGGUAGUCACCCUCUCUGGUUUGCUCGCCUCGCAUUGCCGCGGCUAUAGUAUCUUUCACAUUCAGGCCUGCACCAUGACUGAUUUGCUUCCUUGUUUCUUCUAAUUUUGUUGUUUCUAUUAAGAUGCAAACCACCAAAUUAGCUUGCUAGAUUUCAAUUAAACGAUUAUUUGUUUGUGUUUGCCCGGUUGGAUUAUCAGUUUGAAAUUAUUUUUUUGGGCACUGAAGUGAACUUGCAAGUCAUAGGAAAAUUUUGCUCGUUUCUUUUCAUGUACAUCUGCGCAGGCUGGGCCAUGGCUGCUGGGAGUAGUGAUCUGCACCAGUGCUCCCAACCAUACCAGAUACUUGGGGUGUCGUUCUUCCUUAGAUCUGAGAUCGAAGAGGUGAGUGUGAUUGGUCAGUUAUUCGUUGACUGGUGACCAGUGAAUAUAUAGUUCUGCAGAUUAAUAAUUAUGUUUUGUCGGUCUAAAGUAGCUCUGACUUCGCUAGAUGAGAGGAAAAGAUGGUAUGUCGUGUGGUGCGGCUUAUAUUGGCCUGGUAGUGGUCGACUUGGAAUUCUAAUAUUCGCCAAUGGGUGGCUGUGAUUGUAUAAUUUGUAACUUGCAAUGGGUUCAAUUUCUGUAGUAAUAAGCUUGCAGCCACAGCAAUUGCAGCAGGCACCAGAAUACAGGAGGCAAGAACAGGUUUGAUUUUACAUAGCUGCAGAUAUGUUUAAGCUCUUAGGUCCUUUCAUCUCUAUAUAACUGUUAACCAAUAUUUACGCAUACUGAUGCUUUCUUGAGUUAUUUUUACGCUGAAAAAUCAAACGACUGUUACGAAAUAUGAUGUUUUAAAUAUGCCACCAGCUGAGUUUUUCCUCUUUUGUCAUCUUUGACUGAUCAUUAUGCGUAAAUGUAGAAUAUUGUUAUAAAGUUUUCUUUAAGUGGAUCAUUACUCUGAAGUUCCAUCAAUCUAUUAGAGCAUAACAGUUUGAGUUUUCUUGUUAGUGGAAGAUAUGUGCAAACCAGGUGUAACUACAAGACUACACUCUAUUUGUUUCUUGUAAGAAUGCCUGCAUAAAUGAAUUGAUAAUUGCAUAUUCCAAGCUUCUGAACUCUGAAUUCUCGUUGUCGCACAAUAUGAUUCUUGUAUAGCAGUAACUAUUGGCAAUUCUUUGUCCUAUUUUCGGUUCGGUUCGAUUUGGUACCACAUUGUUCUCUGGGAUCUCUACGCUCAUUACCACAUUUUGGCUUUCACUAAGCAGAUCAAUUUCGGGUUUCACUUAGCAGACCAGUUUUGGCUUUCAUGUUUUGAAUUUAACUAUUGUUAUUUGAUGUCGACCUACCUGGUGUUCAAGGUAUCAACACUUUUUGAGUCCUAUUAAAUGAGCCCUGCCUAUUCUUUUAUAUGGGUCCUUGCUUCAACAAUUGCUCCAGCACCCCAGUUGUGAUUUGUGAAAUAUUGAGUUGACAGCAGGAAGGCUUAUUAAGCUCUAUGUGAUAAGCCAUGUUGAGAAUGUUGAGAUGAUGUUCUCCAUCCUCCUGCCAGAUUGGAAGUCUGCGAAUGUCAUGGGAAAUAAUGCUGCAAGGCAAAUGGCAGCUUGAUGGUGACCUGGUAAGCAUUUUAUGAGCUCGCUGGUUUAAAUGGAUAGAUGAAGGAGAAAAGUGAUGUAAGUAGAUAUUAUAUUACUUAUCUGAUCUAAAAAUAAUAAAUGGGAUUUGGGCGAUUACUGUUCUGACAUAUUUUAUUAGGCUUGGGACGUGCCAUGAUUUGACUUUGUUUAUCCUGUCCAUAGCUUGACAGUGCUGAGAACGUCAUAGCUGUUGUCCAAUGGUAGUAUGUGUCAAAGUUGGAACGGAUGUACGGUUCCAAUUAAAACUUUCCAUCUGUACCCUGCUAUUAUCAAAUCUCUGCUCUUUCAUCUACUUCUAAUUUCUUGAGCCGUUCUUUUUUACAGCAAAUACAUUUCUCUUACAAUGGCUUUGGAUCAGGGAGGCUGAGGUGGUGGCAAUUAUUCCUUUUCCCCUGAUAAGUACUAGCAAGUAGCCCUGUUUUCUUUUGCCUAUUCUCAUGCCUGAAAAUAACAAACUUACUUUCAGAAAAGUAAUCAGUGGACAAAUUGAUUUGUGAUGGCUUUCUGAUACUGUUUACUGUUUUAUGGCAACUAGACACUUGAAUGAGAAGUAAUAAAUCAAGUCUAGAGUCUCCUGAACUACCGUAUCUUUUUUUCCGAAAGCAACUACCAUAUCUUUUGGUGCCAUGAAAGAGCUACACGCAUUUAGGUGCCCAAGGAUUGGUGCAGAAGAUUGGAGCUACAAGCAUGCUACUACUGAGGAUCAUGCCUCUUGUGUCACAAAAGAAAGCAGCUUAUUACCUGCACUAGAUUUCCUAGGGGAUGGAGCCGUGUUUCUCAGACCUGAACUCCGAAGCUCAUUUUCUUGCAACGCUACAUUCAGUCCAGUUUUAAGUUUACUGAAAACCAAAUCGAAAGGACAGACUGCAUAAUGUGUUAUUGGCAUAUUCGUAAAAAAUGUGGUUUGAAGAUGUACACUAAACUAAUAAGCACGUUUUCAUCAGAAAAAAAAAAGAGAAUCAUUGUCUCAAGAAUGCUGAGAAGAUAA